This 252-nucleotide ribosomal RNA is filed under the name uncultured bacterium. RNAcentral describes it as "partial 16S ribosomal RNA". It matches the Rfam family "Bacterial small subunit ribosomal RNA", at positions 524 to 774 of the family's 1533-position model. The record is from RNAcentral.
UACGAAGGGGGCUAGCGUUGCUCGGAAUCACUGGGCGUAAAGGGUGCGUAGGCGGGUCUUUAAGUCAGGGGUGAAAUCCUGGAGCUCAACUCCAGAACUGCCUUUGAUACUGAGGAUCUUGAGUUCGGGAGAGGUGAGUGGAACUGCGAGUGUAGAGGUGAAAUUCGUAGAUAUUCGCAAGAACACCAGUGGCGAAGGGCGGCUCACUGGCCCGAUACUGACGCUGAGGCACGAAAGCGUGGGGAGCAAACA